UGGGGUGUCGCCAAGCGGCUAAGGCCCCGGAUUUUGAUUCCGGUAUACGCAGGUUCGAAUCCUGCCACCCCAGCCA
RNAcentral lists this transfer RNA (76 nucleotides) under Clostridium sp. RNAcentral's name for it is "tRNA-Gln". It matches the Rfam family "tRNA". Rfam says of the family: Transfer RNA (tRNA) molecules are approximately 80 nucleotides in length. Their secondary structure includes four short double-helical elements and three loops (D, anti-codon, and T loops). The record is from RNAcentral. Lineage: Bacteria; Bacillati; Bacillota; Clostridia; Eubacteriales; Clostridiaceae. RNAcentral also lists the same sequence under 5 other names.